Long non-coding RNA from Maniola jurtina (meadow brown), 105 nucleotides. RefSeq lists it as uncharacterized. The record is from RefSeq and is a predicted model, not a curated record. NCBI's taxonomy places the organism in Eukaryota, Metazoa, Arthropoda, Insecta, Lepidoptera, Nymphalidae. The transcript is spliced from 3 exons.
AAUGUCCGUCCGUCUGUCUAUCUGUCUGUCUGUAUGCUACCUACCUUUUCACGGCCCAACACUGUAACCUAUUCUGACGCAAUUUGGUUGCCUGCAAAUGAGCGG